GCUCUUCCACCCACCACUACUACCCUCAGCAUCUACUGCACCUCAGUGACAGUUUUCUUCAUUGUCAUUAAGAUGGUCAGAGUGAUGAAAGAUCUAUGCCAGAGGCGGAGGAGCGACUCACCCCUGAGGAUGUGUUCAGUCCCAACACUGACGAGUCUGCCCCACUCCUGCAGGGAGAGCAGAUUCCUUCAGCCCACAGGGAUAAUGCUGAGGAUGAUCAACCACCUUCCCCUGUGAAUGAAGAAGACAGUGUAGAGGAAAAGACAAACCCCCAACAACAAUAAUACCUCUCUACAAAUCACACGAGAUGCCAACGAUGGAGAAUUGCCUGAGGAGAAUUAUUGCUCAGAUGAAAUUGCUGUGGUGCUUGUUGACAACUCGAGUCCCUCGGCCCACCUGGACAAGAGUGAUACGGUUAAGAUCCUUAUCACAAUGAGCUGUGACCCACAGACGGCAGCUGAAAACUGAAUGAGUCCGUCAAACAGCGCAUCUUAGAGUCAGCUCAGUCCAACCAGGGAGAAUACUGUCCUGUUAAAAUUCCUGUCAUCACCUUCGAUUUGCCUCACGAAGUGGAGGAACCCUCUGCAGGGAGAGGAAAGAUAACUUUACCAGCUGUAACAGUGGCAUGAACAUGGAGGAUGUGGAUUGUGCUGGUUCCUCCUUAAGUCAGAAUCAUAACUCCGCCACAUCCCAGAGCCGAAGCCUUUUUCACGGCCGCCAAAGCAGCUCCCAGUCCAGACACCACGGACUCACCGGGAGUAUCGCAGUCGCCCAGUGCAACCUCAGGGCCAACGGCCCCCUGUCACCAGCUGAUCGAGUCCCAUCCUGGACAGCCAGCACGGCUCCAACAGCCAGCUGUCCUUCAACACCUCCUCCAUUGCCUCCGUCUUUUCCCAGGUGCCUCGUUUAUCCACAACAGGGCCUCUGGCUCUGGCUCCAGCCAGGCGUCUUCCUCCAGCUCCACACUGAGCCUGCUGUUGGCAAGCGGAGCUGCUCCAGCGGCUUGGUCAUCUCAGGCCUCUCUGCAGCUGAGAGGGGGAACACCAGAGAUACGCAGUCCUCAAGUUCUGACAACAUCGUCCUAGGCCCGUCCUGUCACUCGAGUCAUGCAAUGCAGCAGUGGACAUCAGAGGCGUAG
Molecule: long non-coding RNA, 1138 nt
Filed under: Carassius auratus (goldfish)
Lineage: Eukaryota; Metazoa; Chordata; Actinopteri; Cypriniformes; Cyprinidae
Description: lncRNA (ENSCARG00000063657.1)
Source: RNAcentral